GAGGACCCUCCGGUCACAGGGAGGAAGAGCAGCACACAGCCACAGCGGACAGCGUUGGGUCCAGACUAAUUAGAACGUGCCACAGGAACUCCAGAUGCUUUAAAGCUAUGUGGAGCCAGGAAAUGUCUGUCUACACAAACUAACCCUGAUCACAUUACUACACAAAUGUCCUGGUGGCUUCACCCCAGCGUUGCUAUUGCAUUUGUGUUUUCGGAUGUACUUCCUGAGGAUUAGAGCGCUGUUUCUGAUCUGUCUCUUCAAACCUCCAGGUAUGUGCUCAUAGAGGCUGGGCUGCGAAAUCUUCUCUCCAGCCGGAACGGAAGCAGCUUCACCUCCAAGGAACAAUAGGAACAUGAGUGAUGAAAUCAGAGGGCCAUGCUGAGCUGGUCCCACCCUUCGCUGGCCUUGGGAAAGCUGGCCCUAAUCCUCACUGUACACUGCAGCAAGAUAGCUGCUCCCCAACUCGGGAGAGAUGACCCCAUCCCUUACCACGGGCAAGAGAGAACUGACCCUGAAGACCUGGGCUAUGGGAGCUGGCUCUGCCCCUUGCCUGAGGCAAGUGGCCUCAGUGGCCCCUGCUGACCAGCUCAGCUACCACCCAAGCCCACGACCCGGCCUUGUGUUGGUCUACUCUGGCAUCUACCACAUCUAGGACCUGCUGGAGCUCCUGAAGGAUCUGGUCCUAUGGAAGGACACCCGCAGCAUCUCCAUGACUUGGGCUGGCCAAGAUAUCCAAGAGGAGUUAUGGUGAGAUUUAGUGGUGAUGGUGCGCCGGAAACCAGAGGCCUUGACCCCUACCAAUGAACAUUUGCUAGUAAGGCUGGUUGGACAAAAGGGUCCACUGACGCUCCCAUUGAAGAGGUGUUGAAGAGGCCGGAAAGAUGAAGAGAGAGGUUUCUUUGUGUGCUUGUUUUGGUUUGAUUUUUUUUGUUUUUAAAUUUUGUUGGGGGAUGCUUCAGGAGUGAGGGAGGUUAUGGGGGGACUGGGAGGUGAG
Alexandromys fortis (reed vole) is the source of this 994-nucleotide long non-coding RNA. RefSeq lists it as uncharacterized. The record is from RefSeq and is a predicted model, not a curated record. NCBI's taxonomy places the organism in Eukaryota, Metazoa, Chordata, Mammalia, Rodentia, Cricetidae. The transcript is spliced from 3 exons.